CCUACGGGUGGCAGCAGUGGGGAAUAUGGACAAUGGGGGCAACCCUGAUCCAGCCAUGCCGCGUGUGUGAAGAAGGCCCUCGGGUUGUAAAGCACUUUCAGUGAGGAAGAACGCCUGGUGGUUAAUACCCAUCAGGAAAGACAUCACUCACAGAAGAAGCACCGGCUAACUCCGAGCCAGCAGCCGCGGUAAUACGGAGGGUGCGAGCGUUAAUCGGAAUUACUGGGCGUAAAGCGCGCGUAGGUGGCUUGAUAAGCCGGUUGUGAAAGCCCCGGGCUCAACCUGGGAACGGCAUCCGGAACUGUCAAGCUAGAGUGCAGGAGAGGAAGGUAGAAUUCCCGGUGUAGCGGUGAAAUGCGUAGAGAUCGGGAGGAAUACCAGUGGCGAAGGCGGCCUUCUGGACUGACACUGACACUGAGGUGCGAAAGCGCGGGUAGCAAACAGGAUUAGAUACCCGUGUAGUC
This 464-nucleotide ribosomal RNA is filed under the name Vreelandella stevensii. Its description in RNAcentral is "partial 16S ribosomal RNA". It matches the Rfam family "Bacterial small subunit ribosomal RNA", at positions 338 to 795 of the family's 1533-position model. Lineage: Bacteria; Pseudomonadati; Pseudomonadota; Gammaproteobacteria; Oceanospirillales; Halomonadaceae. The record is from RNAcentral.